AGGGACACCACUAGUGACCGGCGCCCACUCUGAGUUAAAUCCGUCAAUCACCACUCUUUGUUGUCUGUUGCUCAAGCAGCUCAACCAAUUCGCGAUCCAUUGGUGUACUUGACCGUCAAUACCUAUUUGCUUUAAUUUGUAAAGUAAUUUAUGAUGUGGGACUUUAUCAAACGCUUUCUGGAAAUCAAGAUAGACUACGUCCAGUGAUUUGGUUACGUCAUAAACCGUGAAGAGGUCGUUAUAAAAGGUUAAUAGGUUUGAUAGGCAGAAUCUUUUGUCACGGAAGCCAUGUUGUGAGUCCCCAAUUAAUGAGUGGCUUUCAAGGUAACUCACAAUUUUGUCUUUAAUUAUGCUCUCAAGUAGCUUACCUACAACCGAAGUUAGACUAAUGGGCCUGUAAUUACCUGGUACUUUUUCCUUUCUUAUUAAAAAUCGGUGUCACGUUAGCCCUUUUUCAAUCCGAAGGGACGAUGCCUUGUCGCAAGAACAUAUUGAAUACGGUUGAGAGGGAGGAGAGCAUUUCACUCUUUGUUUCUUUGAGUAGAGUAGGAUAUACUUUGUCAGGUCCAGGACUUUUAUUUGUUUUAAGUGACUGGAGGGCUUUAAGGACUUCAUCGGUUGUUAUUUCAAAGUUAGGCAAUGCAUGCUCGGGAUUUACAUUAGGACUGGUGUUGGUGAUAGUGGUGGGAGGACUGUUAGUAUUAAUUCCAUAAUGCCCAGAAGAUAAACAAAGCCGUCCCAGCACUAUUUCGACAACAGGCUUCGUGGUAACAGGUAGGUCGUUGAUGAAACUCGCAUAUUUAUCUUUAUUAUUGCAAUGUGGGGUCCACGUGGACCCGGGGUUACCUUUGAUGUAGCAAAUAGGUUACGAGGAAACGAAGAUGUAGAAAUAUUUAUCACGCGAUGUAAGAAAAUUGUGGUGAUGUAUUGGGGUCCAUUGUGUUGGUAGAAGGUUGGCGGACAUUUUCAUGUUGUGGUAAAUGCAGUAUGAUUCUAUUUAGGUUAUUUUCUCUCCUUUUGCUUGAGAUAUUCUUCAGUGCAAGCAUGUCACGAGCUAGAUGUUAUAGUGAUGGUGAGCUGAGUAGCCUUAUGAAGUCCUCCUGGUUCCCCCGUGAGCUGGAGGAGGCAGGAAUAACGUCGGAUGCCGAGUUGGAGGAAAACGAGGGGAGUGGUCGCCCCCCCAAUGCCACCACCCCAACUCAGCCUCCCCACCGCCAACAACAAGAUACUGGUGAUGCUUUCGGCUGUGAGGAACACCAUAUGCCUGUACUUUGACCUUCAGCCACCAGCUCCAGCAGAAGAGGAGGAGGAGGAAGGCCCUCGUAAGAACAAGAGGUGUGCUCUAUGCCCCUAUUCAAGGUCGCAGACGAAGGUCCGGAGUGUCUGUGGCAUCUGCAAGAAUCACACCUGUCCACGUCACAUGACUAUGGCGUGUGAGAGCUGCAAAGACAUUCUAUAGAACACACCUCUGAUUGUUGCCUGUGGAUAUGCUAGCUGUCGGGUGGUUUGUAGAGAGGAAGACACCAACUUCCAGGAUUUCCAUGUCCCGACGCCCAUCGAUCUACACUUAAUUAUUUUUAUAUAUUCUUUUUACCAAAUUAUCGUUUUUGUAGUAAAUUUUCACAAAUAAUAUAUUUUAAAUUUUUUAUAACAAUAAUAAAGUACAUUUUUGCUUCAAACAUAGUUUCAGUCUAUUCCUAACAUCAUAUUCUUAAUAUUGAAUAGCAUUAACUCUACAGGAUACAGGUAUGCAUAUGUUAUUUUUGGUGAUUUACAGAGGGGGUCCGGUUGGGUUACCUUCAGAGCCACCGCUAAACAGGGUUACCUUUCUAGGGUUUGGGGUGACAUGGGAUGGAGCACUUUUAGGGAAGGAUUAGUGAAGGCAACCUUGAGAUAUAAAGUGAGACUGGAGCGAAUGGAGGAUACAAGAUUAGCAAGAAAAGUAUACUUGUGGAAUAUAAGAGAUGGCAAAUGGGCGAAUAAAUGUGGGCGACUGCGAUGAUAGACAGGAAUGUUGCGCUAAGUAGGUGGGUGUACCGACCCCUUGAAGAUAGGCAGAAUGUGUUUGAAUGGAGAAUAACAAACAGAAAUGGAGAGGGGUUUGAGUGGGAUGUAAGAAAGUGGAAGAAUGUGAUAGAUAUGGCAGUUAAAGAUGAGGGAUUGAGCAAGUGGAAGAAUGAGAUGGAAAGAAAGGAAACUCUCGACUGGUAUAGGGAGAAAGAGGCCCCAAAGUGUGAGGUGUGGUAUGAGGGAAGCCUGGGAGGUGAUCUUCUUUUCCGUGCUAGAGCGCAGUGUCUGGAUGUGAAUGCAAGGAACUAUAGAUGGUCUGAGUCCCGCAGCAAAGUAUGCCAGAUGUGUGACAGGGGUGUGGACGAGACUGUGCAGCAUGUAGUGCUGGAAUGCAAGAAGUAUGACAGGGAGAGAACGAAGAUGAUGCAUGUGUUUUUGAGCGAGAUGGGACGUGAUGUAAACGGGAGGACUGGAAGGGAGUGGAUGGUGCUGCUGCUGCAGGGGCUCAGUGGAGAGACGAGUGGACGAGUGAUUGAGGCAGUGAAAGAGUUCUUGGAGGGCAUGUGGCGUGAAAGAUGUAGGGAAUGAUAUCUUGCCCCGAGAACAUUGACUUCCCGCAUGUUUUGUUUUCUUUUCACAGGAGAUGCCGAUAUAAAGGCCUGGCUAGGGAGAAAUCCCGAGCCACCUGUGACAUCAAGAUCAAGAUCAAGAUCAAGAACAGACGUGUGUGUGAGCGGCUCGUUUAGGAACUCCGUCUGCCCUGCUGCAGUGUUGUUGGGUGUGCUGGCCUUUGCCUCCCUCCCCCCUGCUGCCACCAUGCUGAGAAAGGACUGAGAGAGAAGCAGACGGCCCAUGAAGUGAUACAAGGCGACAGAUGUGGCAACAAGAGGAAGGUUGUCGCUGCUGCACACUAUCGGAGGCAGGGUGUGCUGGCCUGUGCCUCCCUCCCCCCUGCCGCCACCAUGCUGACAGACAGAAGCAGACGGCCCAUGAAGUGAUACAAGGCGACAGAGGUGGCAACAAGAGGAAGGUUGUCGCUGCUGCACACUGUCGGAGGCAGGGUGUGCUGGCCUGUGCCUCCCUCGCCCCCUGUUCCCACCGGGACUGACUUGGAGUGGCCGUGGCAGUACAGUUUCCUGACGUUCUUCACAAAGGGUUCUUCAGGCGCGAGAGGCUGGAGGAGAUGAAGGCACACCGGGCGAUGCUGCAGCGUGCCCCCACCGGCGUCAGUAACCCAGCAGCCAUCGGGGAGCAGAGCCACAGCCGCCAGCCGCCGGUGUACGUACUGCCUGUGUUGGGCUGGCCGGGUUAUCGUAGACACAGCGCCACGCCAAAGAUUCCCAAGUGUUGUAGUGACGUGUAAGUCUGUAUGGCGUUGGUGCAGUGUAGAGCAGUGAAGUGUAGUGUGGUGUUGUGCGUCCUCUUGCGCUGAAGGAAGAGUGACUUGAACCUUUUGAUCUGGUCCUGAACUUUUGAUUUUGCCGUGACCUUCAACAUUUUGUGUUUUGUUUACAAGUGGCGUGGAUAUGCCAUUCUUUGUGACCAGUGCUAGUGACACUUGUUAGGCUGCUUGAAUAAGAAAUGAACACUUGAGACUUGCCGCCCCUUCUUCUGUGAUCCGUGUCUUUGCCCUCGUCAAGGUGGAGGAAAGGCGUUUGGUACCAAGAGUCUUGUUGGUGCAGUUGAACUCGGUAUUCUGAGAUGUUCCGCCUCCCACAUAAGCUACAGGAACUCACUGAGCUAUGGCUUACAGCCAGUGCUAUUAGUAAUUCAGUACCCUCUUGAGUUUCGCACUAUCUGAGUUUAGUGAUCCUCGAGUAUAGCGCUUAGUCCUAAAUUCUUACCAUCCCGACUUUCGCGCAUUACCGCCACGAGUUUUGUGCUGCUUUGACAUGUACGGGUCACGUCUACCUACCGUCAGCGUCAUGCAUGCUGCCUUAAAAGGCGGUGUCCAACCAUUGGGGCUAUGGGCAACCGCUGUUGCCCGUAUGCCCAACCGGGAGCGAGUUGUUGGUUAUCCGUAUGAAUGGAAAACGGUU
Molecule: long non-coding RNA, 4049 nt
Organism: Eriocheir sinensis (Chinese mitten crab)
Lineage: Eukaryota; Metazoa; Arthropoda; Malacostraca; Decapoda; Varunidae
Exons: 4
Source: RefSeq, a predicted model, not a curated record